This 253-nucleotide ribosomal RNA is filed under the name uncultured bacterium. Its description in RNAcentral is "partial 16S ribosomal RNA". It matches the Rfam family "Bacterial small subunit ribosomal RNA", at positions 524 to 776 of the family's 1533-position model. The record is from RNAcentral.
UACGUAGGGUGCAAGCGUUAAUCGGAAUUACUGGGCGUAAAGCGUGCGCAGGCGGUUAUGCAAGACAGAUGUGAAAUCCCCGGGCUUAACCUGGGAAUGGCAUUGGUGACUGCACGGCUAGAGUGUGUCAGAGGGGGGUAGAAUUCCACGUGUAGCAGUGAAAUGCGUAGAGAUGUGGAGGAAUACCGAUGGCGAAGGCAGGUCUCUGGGCCAAUACUGACGCUCAUGCACGAAAGCGUGGGGAGCAAACAGG